Equus caballus (horse) is the source of this 1743-nucleotide long non-coding RNA. Lineage: Eukaryota; Metazoa; Chordata; Mammalia; Perissodactyla; Equidae. The record is from Ensembl.
GCUAGAUUCAAACAUGGCCCUCCCCACACCCAGCCUCCUCCCCAUGCUGGGGUCCCCUUACCUCUGAACUGAGCUUGGCGCGUGAGCCGAAGGUGCCAGGUGGGCAAGGCUGGGGCACAGCUGAGCCCCUGGGGCAGUAGUGUCCUUGAGGACAUGGGCCAGUCCCCUCUGGAACAGAGAGACAAGUCAGCCUGGCCCCCGGGAAGUGCAGGACAGGGGUUGGACUGGACCAUGGAAUUUCGUCCUUCAGUCCCCGCAUUUCAAAGGGGACUUGACCCCAGAAGAUUAAAACCACCAGAAUGAUCCCUCAACUACACAUGCACUUGGGAAAAUUAGCAAAUUGACCGUAUCUUGCUGGUCCCCACGCCACAUACUCUGAUUUGAUGGCCUAUCCCUCGCCUCACCCCAGAAUGAGUAUGUACUAGGCCCCUGAUCACUUCACCACGACCCCUAAGGCGAGCUUCCUCAGGCUGCCUGGUGUUGCCCUCAGCCUGGCCCAUGUGGGAUAUAGGGAUCCUUUGGGUGUCCCGCCCGGGGUGGACAGUGGGUGGAGGAGACAAAUGCCAGAGCACUGUCACUUGCUGGGCCACGGUGUUCUGCCCACCAUGAAGGAACAUGGGUGGCCCAGGAGAGUUUCUUCAGGCUUCUCGGAGAGAACAGACUCAUUAGUCUCUGUGGGUUGACCAGUGAGUGGGUGGAGAGCCCCUGAAUCUGGCCUCUGCUUCCCAGUUUGGCGGCUCAGGAAAUGGGGUAGGGGCUCAGGGUUCAGUGGGGAGGGUCCAGUACCUUCAGUGCCAGCCUCCGGGUUGGGCCGGGUGGACCCUCUGGAGCAGAAGAAGCCCUCCCAGCACUGUCUGCCCGCCUCCGUGGCACUGGCCCUGGGGCAGAACCUGCCUCCGUCACAGACUCCACAUCCCGGCAGGCUGCCCAGUCCGGGCACUGGGCCUUAGGUGCCCAGGGGGCAGGGCUGCCAAUUGAGCCCUGUCCCUUCAGGGCAGUAGAAACCUGUGAAGGGAGCAAGGCUGAGACUAGGGCCUGAGGAGGAAGCUGGAAGGAGGCUGGAGAAGGGAAGACUCUGAGCCCUGGGGGCCCGGCAUGGAGGCCUGGCCUCUGCGCAGUGAGGGCUCCUGCCCAGGAAAGGUAAAGCUCCUUAAAUGGAGGGGUUGCCACCUUAUUAUCAGAAUAUACAGCCAGGGCCUUUAAGGGAAGCGGGGGAGAUAACUGCCUUGCAGGUGACUGCCCCCACUCCCCCUUUUUGCUUUGGCUCCUUUGCUUAGUGAGCCAGGCCGCUGGCAGGACACUAACCUCUUGGACACAGCUGUGGCCUCAGCCCUGGAACACAGUAGCGGCUAUUGGGACAGAUGUGACAUUUCGUUGUGUGGGUACUGGAGGUGUAGGAGCCAGGAGGACAUGGAGUGGGCUCAACCAUGCCCAGAGGGCUGAAGGGCCCUGGGGGGCAGGAUCUCCCAGAGACCCCUUCUAUGGUGGUGGCAGAGACAGUUCCCUCAGUGCAGGAAAUGCUGGAAAAAUGUGGGCCAAGCAAAAGGGCCUCAGCUGAGGAGAGUCACUGAGGAACACGCAGCCAAGUGCAGUGGACGGGCUUCAAGCACGGGCCUGAGACCCUUCCUAGCCUGCUCACUCCCGACUCCUCCCGCUUUGUGGCCUCCCACCCUCCAAGCUGGACCCCAGGAUCGUCAGCCUGGCCCUGCUCAGGGUGGGAUGGGAGGUGGCAGAGAUGAGAAG